AUUGAACGCUGGCGGCAGGCUUAACACAUGCAAGUCGAGCGGAGAUGAGGUGCUUGCACCUUAUCUUAGCGGCGGACGGGUGAGUAAUGCUUAGGAAUCUGCCUAUUAGUGGGGGACAACAUUCCGAAAGGAAUGCUAAUACCGCAUACGUCCUACGGGAGAAAGCAGGGGAUCUUCGGACCUUGCGCUAAUAGAUGAGCCUAAGUCGGAUUAGCUAGUUGGUGGGGUAAAGGCCUACCAAGGCGACGAUCUGUAGCGGGUCUGAGAGGAUGAUCCGCCACACUGGGACUGAGACACGGCCCAGACUCCUACGGGAGGCAGCAGUGGGGAAUAUUGGACAAUGGGAGGAACCCUGAUCCAGCCAUGCCGCGUGUGUGAAGAAGGCCUUAUGGUUGUAAAGCACUUUAAGCGAGGAGGAGGCUACUGAGACUAAUACUCUUGGAUAGUGGACGUUACUCGCAGAAUAAGCACCGGCUAACUCUGUGCCAGCAGCCGCGGUAA
RNAcentral lists this ribosomal RNA (501 nucleotides) under uncultured bacterium. RNAcentral describes it as "partial 16S ribosomal RNA". It matches the Rfam family "Bacterial small subunit ribosomal RNA", at positions 30 to 523 of the family's 1533-position model. The record is from RNAcentral.